AUUGAACGCUGGCGGCAUGCCUUACACAUGCAAGUCGAACGGCAGCACGGGAGCAAUCCUGGUGGCGAGUGGCGAACGGGUGAGUAAUAUAUCGGAACGUGCCCAGUCGUGGGGGAUAACGUAGCGAAAGCUACGCUAAUACCGCAUACGAUCUAUGGAUGAAAGCGGGGGAUCGCAAGACCUCGCGCGAUUGGAGCGGCCGAUAUCAGAUUAGGUAGUUGGUGAGGUAAAGGCUCGCCAAGCCGACGAUCUGUAGCUGGUCUGAGAGGACGACCAGCCACACUGGGACUGAGACACGGCCCAGACUCCUACGGGAGGCAGCAGUGGGGAAUUUUGGACAAUGGGCGCAAGCCUGAUCCAGCAAUGCCGCGUGCAGGAUG
This 380-nucleotide ribosomal RNA is filed under the name uncultured bacterium. RNAcentral describes it as "bacterial SSU rRNA". It matches the Rfam family "Bacterial small subunit ribosomal RNA", at positions 30 to 410 of the family's 1533-position model. The record is from RNAcentral.